AUGCUUCCUUCGGCAGCACCUACACUAAAAUUGGGAUGAUAUACAGAAGGCAGGCAUGGCCGCUGUGCAAGAAUGACACGCAAAGGUGUGCAGCAUCCCAUAUUUUU
This is a small nuclear RNA of Callithrix jacchus (white-tufted-ear marmoset), 107 nucleotides long. Lineage: Eukaryota; Metazoa; Chordata; Mammalia; Primates; Cebidae. The record is from Ensembl.